Molecule: long non-coding RNA, 469 nt
Filed under: Sorghum bicolor (sorghum)
Lineage: Eukaryota; Viridiplantae; Streptophyta; Magnoliopsida; Poales; Poaceae
Description: long non-coding RNA (SBIC_LNC008642)
Source: RNAcentral
CUAACAUCAAAUGACGGAUUCUUUGGCAAGACAGGCUUUUCAAGCAAUUACAUCGAAUCAGAAUCAAUAUGACUACAGCUGUUCUAAUCCUAGUCAUGCAAAUGAUUGUCCUGUUCUUCGAGCAAUCAACUAUGUAACCAUUACUUCUGUAAACAUUCUAUCAGCCUCGUGCUGUUAAUAAAUUUAGUUACUUGUAAAAAAAAUAGAGACAAAGGGCUUGACACGGAAACAAGUGUGUGUUUUCAACCAAAAAAACGAAAACAAGUGUGUAAAUCAGGCAAGGAGCAACCACGCCAUUGACUUCCAUUGAAGAAGAGAUCAGUCCACCGUUCGCUUGCUGAAUGCCUGGCAAAUUUAAGGACGAGAGCAGAGGUCAGUUUAUAGGAUAAGAAUUUUUGGACAAGAGUAGAGGUAGGCGAACCUCUUUUUUUGUCAUAUCAAUGAUUUCGUGCGAGCUCUUCAUUUGUUU